RNAcentral lists this ribosomal RNA (444 nucleotides) under uncultured bacterium. RNAcentral describes it as "bacterial SSU rRNA". It matches the Rfam family "Bacterial small subunit ribosomal RNA", at positions 331 to 792 of the family's 1533-position model. The record is from RNAcentral.
CCAGACUCCUACGGGAGGCAGCAGUGGGGAAUAUUGGACAAUGGGGGGAACCCUGAUCCAGCGACGCCGCGUGAGUGAAGAAGUAUUUCGGUAUGUAAAGCUCUAUCAGCAGGGAAGAAAAUGACGGUACCUGACUAAGAAGCCCCGGCUAACUACGUGCCAGCAGCCGCGGUAAUACGUAGGGGGCAAGCGUUAUCCGGAUUUACUGGGUGUAAAGGGAGCGUAGACGGCAUGGCAAGUCAGAUGUGAAAGCCCGGGGCUCAACCCCGGGACUGCAUUUGAAACUGUCAGGCUGGGGUGCAGGAGAGGUAAGUGGAAUUCCUAGUGUAGCGGUGAAAUGCGUAGAUAUUAGGAGGAACACCAGUGGCGAAGGCGGCUUACUGGACUGUAACUGACGUUGAGGCUCGAAAGCGUGGGGAGCAAACAGGAUUAGAUACCCUAGUA